Molecule: ribosomal RNA, 253 nt
Filed under: uncultured bacterium
Lineage: Bacteria
Description: partial 16S ribosomal RNA
Rfam family: Bacterial small subunit ribosomal RNA
Source: RNAcentral
UACAGAGGUCCCAAGCGUUGUUCGGAUUCACUGGGCGUAAAGGGUGCGUAGGUGGUUUGGUAAGUCCGCUGUGAAAUCUCCGAGCUCAGCUCGGAAAAUGCAAUGGAUACUAUCAGACUAGAGGGUCGGAGGGGAGACUGGAAUUCUCGGUGUAGCAGUGAAAUGCGUAGAUAUCGAGAGGAACACCAGUGGCGAAGGCGAGUCUCUGGACGACUCCUGACACUGAGGCGCGAAAGCUAGGGGAGCAAACAGG